GAGCAGGGGUCUGGUCGCUCGCACGCCUUGGCCCUGGGCCGGGCGAAACAAAGGCUCAGUAACGCAGUUGCUAGAGCGCCGCCGGUCGCCUGGUAACCGCCUGCUGCCUCUUUAUCCGGGGGCGUCUCCUGGCUGGGGUGGAGCUUAAGUCCCUGUGGGCUCCCGCCCGUUCUCCUGGUGGCUUGCCGUGUCCUGGAGCUAGUUCGCGUCUCCGCUCCUGUUCCUAUGCGGGCUGCGGCAGCGGCGCUGCUAGCAGCGUGGCUCCUGGCGGGCGGCCCCUCAGGGCAACGGGUCGCUUCCCAGCGAGUGCUCGCCGGCCGCGCUGGGGCUGCCCCGGAGCGCCAUGAGUUCGGAGCCGCCCCGCGCCUCUCUGCUCCGCGCCCUGUUUAAGAUGGAGCCGGCGGCAGCCGCCUCCGAAGUGCUGGGGGGAGCCUCAGAGUUCGUGAAAGAUCGGCUGUACUUUGCUACUUUACGAAAUAAACCGAAAAGUACCGUAAAUACCCACUACUUCUGUACUGAUGAGGAACUGGUCUAUGAAAAUUUCUAUGGAGAUUUUGGACCUUUAAAUUUGGCAAUGUUAUACAGAUACUGCUGUAAACUAAAUAAGAAAUUAAAGUAUUUCAGUCUAUCAAGAAAGAAGAUAGUGUACUAUACAAGUUUUGACCAGCGGAAACGAGCAAAUGCGGCAUUUCUAAUAGGUGCAUACGCUGUAAUAUACUUGAAGAAAACACCAGAAGAAGCUUACAGAACACUUUUGUCUGGAUCUAAUCCACCAUAUCUUCCAUUUAGCCACUCAGCAAAGGAGGAUCAGAUUGUCUCUCUUCUCAUACCUUGUACAGGAGCCAGGGAUGCUUCAUUUGGGAACUGCACGUACAAUCUUACGAUCUUGGACUGUUUACAGGGAAUAAAUAAGGCCUUGCAGCAUGGAUUUUUUGACUUUAAGACAUUUGAUGUGGAUGAAUAUGAACACUAUGAGCGGGUGGAAAAUGGUGACUUCAACUGGAUUAUUCCGGGGAAAUUUUUGGCAUUUAGUGGACCACACCCAAAAAGCAAACUUGAAAAUGGUUAUCCUCUUCAUGCACCUGAAGCCUACUUUCCCUAUUUCAAGAAACAUCAUGUCACAUCGAUCAUAAGACUAAACAAAAAAAUUUAUGAGGCAAAGCGAUUUACUGAUGCUGGUUUUGAGCAUUAUGACCUGUUCUUCAUAGAUGGAAGCACACCAAGCGACAGUAUAGUUCAGAGGUUCUUGAACAUCUGCGAAAAUGCUGAUGGUGCUAUUGCUGUACAUUGUAAAGCUGGCCUGGGGAGAACAGGAACACUGAUUGCCUGUUACAUAAUGAAACACUUCAAGUUCACACAUGCUGAAGCCAUUGCUUGGAUAAGAAUAUGUCGACCAGGUUCUAUUAUAGGACCCCAGCAACACUUCUUGGAAGAGAAGCAAGCAACAUUAUGGCUGGAGGGAGAUCUCAUCCGAUCAAAGCAGAAACAACGAGUAGUUGAUGGAAAUAUUAACAGAGUUCUUUGUGGCUUGAAUGACAUUUCAAUCAGUGACAGCUUGAAUGAAGUACAAGACUUGGAUCAAUACAGGGAGAAUGAUUUUGAAGACAAAGCAGGUGUGGAAACUCAGAAUGGCAUGACACAGGGAGAUGAGCUUAAUGCCUUAAAAAGUCGGAGACGGCCAUGUUCUGCUACAACUGGAGCUCUGAGGCUGCAAGACAUGAAACUGCACACCAGGUCAAUAUCACAACCUUUCAGACUGAAUACUUCAGGUGGCACAGAAGGAUCCAUGUCUCCUCUGAAGGCCUCCAAAGUGAUGGCAGUUAAUUCACCAUCUGCAGAAAGAAUAAGCAGAAUUCCCGCAUCCUCAGGCCCUAACCUUAAAAGCGUUUCCAUAAACUCCAGACUAGCCAGUUCUCUAGGGAACCUGUAUGCUGCUUCAGAUGAUGAUGAGAGCAAAAUGACAUCAUUGGCCUCUAGGACAGGUUUUUCUAUAAGCCAACUCUCCAGCCACUUGAAUGGCAGCUUGCAGCUGCCGCACAGAAAUAACCAUGAACUGAACAACAACUUAUACAACAGAAACAGCAGUAGUGGCAACCUGAGCAGCCAAACCAGUUUUCACAGCGCCGUGACAGAUGAGUACACAUCAACCUUCCUUUAUGGGCCUUGCAACUCCUCCAGCGAUUGACCAUACCAGAGUCAGUCAAUUUCUGUAAGUUCAUAGUUAAAACAGCACAUUCAGGCAUCUCACCGAUGCUUAUCUUCCUUGCUUCUGUGAGCAAAACUGUUGCAAAAAAAUCUUAACCCAGCAUAAUUCUCUGACUUCCUUUAAUGUUUCUGAACACCACCUUUGUCUGUUUCCUUUUUAAGUAAUUAUCAUUUCAGCUGCUUUUUUUUUCCCAUCUCUUUCAAGCAUCUAGAUCAUGGAGGGUUCAUGGAAAAUAAAUCACUCCUGAACUUCAACUAACACCUUUUCUGAUAUCUUUUUUUAUGGACCUUCUUACCUUUAAGAUUUUAUUUCAAAUUAUCCAUAACAUUUUUUAUAAGUUUAUUAUGUAUCUUAUUCUUCAUGCAGUAACAGAUUUAAAGAAGCUUUUGAUUGUAUCGUACUAAAUGGAAAGUACAACAUUCUUAAAAAUAGGGCUCACUUGAAAGAUGAGUCCACUUGACUUGAAACCUAGUCCUUUUCUAACACCAAAUGUGAAAAUUAUUUUAGAACAAGAUAUUUCUCAUGGUCUCACCAUUUUAGCUUUUAUUCAACAACUUUGCCUUGGGCUUAUUUUGUGUCCUUUUUCUAUGUGAGUCUAUAUAAAGAGGAUACACGGAUAAAUUAAUGCAACUUGAAAGUGAUUCUAUACUAAAUGUGGAGAAGAGACUAGAGAAACUUCAGUUAUGAAACCAGAAAUCACUUCAGCUAUUUUAGGGGGAAAAAAUAUUUACUACUAUAAAUCUAAAACCAAUUUAAAAUGUCUGGUUUCCAAAGAUCUGAUGUCCUACUAAUUUUAAAAAUUAGUGCAGUGUUUUUAAUAGAAUAUAUUGGCUACAUUUAAUUGAACCUGUCAGCCUCUGUUAGUAGUACUGACACUUCAGAUUUUUAACUGCUGGAAAUAAAAUUACUUUCAUAUGAAAUUAACUUCAGAAUAUUAUACCUUUCUUUUCUGUUUCCUUACCACUGAUAAACUGUUUCAUUGUAAACAAAGUUUUAGUGUUAUACCUGCUACGGUUUUUGUGUGAUGAGUUCCCUGUUUUAAAACAGCUAAUAGACACAUUGCAUGUAACUAGGAUGUCAGCCAAAAAGAUCAUUCAUGGGUUGUGUUCUCUUUUUCCUGAAGAAGUAGGGGAUCUAUCCUCUCUUCAACAGCUAGUAGAUCGCACUACUUACAGUUCAGAAGCCACAUGUUUACAUCUUCAGAGUAUGAAUUGUACUUUCUGAGGAUAGAUGACAGUAGGAAAUAAAUUCUCAUUGUUUCAUUGUGGAGUUAAAUUGCAUGUGUGACUGAAACCUAACUAGUAUACAAAGUACAUUGAAAAUUAAGAUAGUUGAGGGAGAUUGACUCUGUACUCUCAUCAAUUCAAUGGAUAAUUCCACUGGAAAAGGAGUUACUGUGCUAAGAUGUGCUUGACCUAAAGCAACUCUUUAAAAAACUUGAUGCUUUCAGACUCCUUUGAAAGUACAUUUAGCUGUUUAUCCACUACAACUUACCUGGAAAUAAAUGUUAAUAUUCUAUGAUCUUAGAAUCACUCAGUGUUCUACAUUGAGUUCAAAUUUGAGUUUAAACUUUAUUUUAAACAUCAGCAGUAACUUAUUUACAAGGGACUUCUUGAAUAUCGCCAUAUCCUUUCAGUUGUUUUACCUUUUAAUUUGGCUGUGUUUGUACCUGCUACAUGGAUUGAGGUUAAGCUAUAUAUAAUUGAGAUUUUUCUCAAGUUGGAUAUAGAAACCAUCUCAGUUUUCUUAUGAUGAAUCCAGUUCUAGAACAAGAGAACUGGUUUAGUUUAAUUCCUCCAGGCGUAGAGGUGAGGAAACUGGUAACUUCAUUUUCACGCAACGCAAGUACAUUUUUCUUCCCUCUCUCUGCCCCCUGCACCUCAGUAUGGAAGAGAAAAUUAUUCAAUAGUCUUUUUUUCUACUGUUUUGUAAUGAAACAUCAAAAAACCCAUUUAUUAAUACUAUUGUUCCACAUUCCAUUUAAAACAAAAAAUAACUAUGACUGACUUCCUGUUGUUGUCAGCCAUAUUUUUCCUUCAUCAGUGUAAGCUUAUAAUCCACUUCCUUUUAUUGCAUUUAUGCUGUUGUGUGCUGAUGAACUAGAAGAAAAGCUUGAUUUUCAUAGAACAAACAACUUACCAUUCUAGCCAAAUAGAAUAAAUAUUUGCAAAUUUUACAAAUUGGAUGUUUUGAUUAAGCAGAAUCUCACAAUUAUAACUUUUGGAAAUAUUCUUAUCGAGUAUAAUCACAUUUAAGGUACCACAAUAAAAAUUUUACUUUGUUAUUACAAUAGUUAUAAAUCCAAAUAUCACUCUUUUUAAAAUGUAUUUUUAUUGAAGAGUACGUAACUGGGUAGUCUUAAGAUGAGUCACCUUUUGCUUCUAUAGCUGUCAUGGAAACUGGCAAGAUGGAAAAAUUUAUAAAAAAUCGAGAAGUGUAGCAGUAUUCUAAAAUUCAUAUACAUGAUCUUUAUACUUGUAGAAUAGUUUUUCUUAAUAUGAACUUACUGCUAAUGAAUAUAGGAUGGCCUUUGCAAAAAGAGACAAACACAAGUGCAUCUUACUGAUCUGUAAAUUUAGCAGAGUCAAAGGAUCACUUCAAGUGCGUAUGCCUUUUAUAUAAUAUAUCCCGAUUUAUUUUAGUGGAUCUUGUGUAUUCACAGUAACUCUUCCCUGCUGCAACAAUGUUUUGGGAGACUUGAUGCACAAUUCAGAAAAGUUAAAUUACUUUUUCUAAUUACCUGGAAAAAGUGCAUGUUCAAGUACUAAUGGAUAGCCCUAAAUGUUAUAGGAUUGUUCCCCCUUCAAAGUUAACUCACAGCUGACUUGAUCCUGAAGAUGAAUGCAUGACAAAUAUGGUUCUAGUGUCUAGAUGGAUCUGUGGCUUAUUUUUUCUUCCAGGAGGCUUUCACACCUCCUAUUGAAGAAGGAAAAUGAUAGUGAUCUAAGCAGUUGCUUCAGAGUGAACUCCAUGAGAUAUCAUUAACGUCCCUUCAGUCUGAGUAUGUUCAGUACUAAAGCCUUGAUGCUUUGGUGAAACCUGUUAAAAUCGAAGUCCUUCAUGAAGGAGAAGAACUUAAGGAAGGAAUCCGCGCACUCAGAGGAAUCUUCAAGACAACAUAUUAAAACCUUAACACCAAGAGGAGACUUCUUAACAGGCAGAAAUUUCUUGUUAAUGACUACUGCAGAUGCACUGAUUUUGAAUUUGUGAAAAUUAUUUUACUUUGUUAUACACAGAUUUAAUUUUUUAAUGUUGACAGCUUGAAUAUAUUUCUAAUGAGUUUCAUUAAGACAUUUAUUAACAUGUGUACAGUGUUAAAAUAUGUAUUAAGAGAAUAUUUUGGUAAGCAAUACAUAUAAAAAUAUGUAAAAAUUAGAAUAUAUUUUAAUUUAGUGUUCACUUUGCUACAAAAAUGUAUAUUUUAAAGAAUUUUUACAUGUUUAUCAAAGAUGAAAAUUUUUUUAUGAACAAGAUGUUUUUCUUCGUUUAUGGGUCCAUCAUUAUUGCUGAAAGCCUAAUGGUCUUCUGGUAACUUAAUGGCAGUCUAACUAGUGAGAUACUAGUUAUCACGCUAUUAACUGAAAGCACUUGAUACAUAGUCUGCUUUCCACUUUCAGCUGCUAAUGUUUCAUAAGGAAACACUAUGAAACAAAAAUAAAAGGAAAGUAUUUGUUGAGAUGCAAUGUAACUUGCAUCUUCUAUUGCAAAGAGGAAGUAAUUUAUCUGAUGAUUCAAUUGUACAAUUAAGGCUUUCUUUCAAUUUGUCUUAAAGGCACAUUUUCUUUUCAAUGUACAAUGCUAAAUUUUGCUAUGCAAUAUAUACUGCAAAGAUGAAGGCAGACCAAACUUAAGUUGGUAAGAAUGUGUAUGUAUAAUGAAUUUGGCAGUGCUGUGCGCUUACAUGUUUUUAACCUACGUUUGGCAAUACAUAUACAGUUUCAUUAGUAAAGCAUACUAAAGUAAAUGUUGGAAGUAUUAAAUUUUCACUUAUCAAUUGGAUGCUUCAUAAACUUUUUAAUUUGAAAAUUAUUGUUAAACAUACAGCUAAGGUAACCUCCUGUAUCACAGAAUAUUUUUAUCAGUUGUAAAGAUGCUCUUUAACAUAUAGUCUAAUCAGGUGUGAUUAGAGAUGAGACUUAGAAUGAAGUGGUAUUACAGUGAAGUACUAGAGAUCACAUGUAAAAUUUUCAGAACUCCACAAGUGCAUAGUAAGCAAAAACAAAAAAAAAGGACUUGAUUUGCUAUUAAUUUAGAAGACAAAAACCACAUGUGUUACCUAUGAGUUUUUCCGAUACCUGUGGAAACUUGAAAAUAAAACUUGGUUGAAUUGUCAGUCUUUGUUCCUGAGGACCUGGGAAUGCCUUGCAUCUGCUUUACAACCGAAGUUAAGAUAAAGUGCCACAUUCUUCUUCUAAAAAAAAAGAUCAGAUCACAAAUUGCUAUGGGAAGUUGUACUGAAAGUGUUAAUAAGCAAUAUUGAGAGCAGCUAUAUAAAUCACUGAAUAAAAUUACAUGUAAUACUGUACUUUUUUCACAACUGUGUAUAUGUAACAUAUACACACACAAAGUAGCAUAUGUGUGUGCAUAUAUAUACAAUAUACUGUAUAUGAAUUCUAGAUUAAUGGUAAGGUAAUUCUACCUCUUAUCAAGAAUUUUGUCAUGUACUUUGUUAUAAAUAGUUUUCCUUAAUAAAAUAUUGUUUAAUUUUGAAAAUGUAGAGAUAUAUAUACACACAUACAGCUAAUUGAUAAUA
Molecule: RNA transcript, 6959 nt
Organism: Grus americana (Whooping crane)
Lineage: Eukaryota; Metazoa; Chordata; Aves; Gruiformes; Gruidae
Gene: CDC14A
Gene name: cell division cycle 14A
Exons: 17
Source: RefSeq, a predicted model, not a curated record